This 411-nucleotide ribosomal RNA is filed under the name uncultured soil bacterium. Its description in RNAcentral is "bacterial SSU rRNA". It matches the Rfam family "Bacterial small subunit ribosomal RNA", at positions 27 to 432 of the family's 1533-position model. The record is from RNAcentral.
GGGACGAACGCUGGCGGCGUGCUUAACACAUGCAAGUCGAGCGGUAAGGCCUUUCGGGGUACACGAGCGGCGAACGGGUGAGUAACACGUGGGUGAUCUGCCCUGCACUUCGGGAUAAGCCUGGGAAACUGGGUCUAAUACCGGAUAUGACCUCCUAUCGCAUGGUGGGUGGUGGAAAGAUUUAUCGGUGCAGGAUGGGCCCGCGGCCUAUCAGCUUGGUUGGUGGGGUAAUGGCCUACCGAAGGCGACGACGGGUAGCCGACCUGAGAGGGUGACCGGCCACACUGGGACUGAGACACGGCCCAGACUCCUACGGGAGGCAGCAGGUGGGGAAUAUUGCACAAUGGGACGAAAGCCUAGAUGCAGCGACGCCGCGGUGGAGGAUGACCGGCCGUUCGGGUUCGUAACCUC